UUCGGGGUACUCNAGUGGCGAACGGGUGAGUAACACGUGGGUGAUCUGCCCUGCACUUUGGGAUAAGCCUGGGAAACUGGGUCUAAUACCGAAUAUGACCGCUUACUUCCUGGUGUGUGGUGGAAAGCUUUUGCGGUGUGGGAUGGGCCCGCGGCCUAUCAGCUUGUUGGUGGGGUAAUGGCCUACCAAGGCGACGACGGGUAGCCGGCCUGAGAGGGUGACCGGCCACACUGGGACUGAGAUACGGCCCAGACUCCUACGGGAGGCAGCAGUGGGGAAUAUUGCACAAUGGGCGCAAGCCUGAUGCAGCGACGCCGCGUGAGGGAUGACGGCCUUCGGGUUGUAAACCUCUUUCAUUAAGGACGAAGCGCAAGUGACGGUACCUAUAGAAGAAGGACCGGCCAACUACGUGCCANCAGCCGCGGUAAUACGUANGGUCCGAGCGUUGUCCGGAAUUACUGGGCGUAAAGAGCUCGUAGGUGGUUUGUCGCGUUGUUCGUGAAAACUCACAGCUUAACUGUGGGCGUGCGGGCGAUACGGGCAGACUAGAGUACUGCAGGGGAGACUGGAAUUCCUGGUGUAGCGGUGGAAUGCGCAGAUAUCAGGAGGAACACCGGUGGCGAAGGCGGGUCUCUGGGCAGUAACUGACGCUGAGGAGCGAAAAGCGUGGGGAGCGAACAGGAUUAGAUACCCUGGUAGUCCACGCCGUAAACGGUGGGUACUAGGUGUGGGUUUCCUUCCUUGGGAUCCGUGCCGUAGCUAACGCAUUAAGUACCCCGCCUGGGGAGUACGGCCGCAAGGCUAAAACUCAAAGAAAUUGACGGGGGCCCGCACAAGCGGCGGAGCAUGUGGAUUAAUUCGAUGCAACGCGAAGAACCUUACCUGGGUUUGACAUGCACAGGACGCCAGUAGAGAUAUUGGUUCCCUUGUGNCCUGUGUGCAGGUGGUGCAUGGCUGUCGUCAGCUCGUGUCGUGAGAUGUUGGGUUAAGUCCCGCAACGAGCGCAACCCUUAUCUUAUGUUGCCAGCGCGUAAUGGCGGGGACUCGUGAGAGACUGCCGGGGUCAACUCGGAGGAAGGUGGGGAUGACGUCAAGUCAUCAUGCCCCUUAUGUCCAGGGCUUCACACAUGCUACAAUGGCCGGUACAAAGGGUUGCGAUGCCGUGAGGUGGAGCGAAUCCUUUCAAAGCCGGUCUCAGUUCGGAUCGGGGUCUGCAACUCGACCCCGUGUAAGUCGGAGUCGCUAGUAAUCGCAGAUCAGCAACGCUGCGGUGAAUACGUUCCCGGNCCUUGUACAC
RNAcentral lists this ribosomal RNA (1297 nucleotides) under Mycobacterium sp. DWMJ-1859B1. Its description in RNAcentral is "bacterial SSU rRNA". It matches the Rfam family "Bacterial small subunit ribosomal RNA", at positions 81 to 1388 of the family's 1533-position model. The record is from RNAcentral. Lineage: Bacteria; Bacillati; Actinomycetota; Actinomycetes; Mycobacteriales; Mycobacteriaceae.